GUGGGGAAUAUUGGACAAUGGGGGCAACCCUGAUCCAGCGACGCCGCGUGAGUGAUGAAGGCCUUCGGGUCGUAAAGCUCUGUUGCAGGGGAAGAACACAAUGACGGUACCCUGCUAGAAAGGAUCGGCUAACUUCGUGCCAGCAGCCGCGGUAAGACGAGGGAUCCUAGCGUUGUGCGGAAUUAUUGGGCGUAAAGCGGGUGCAGGUGGCUUGGUAAGUCAGAUGUGAAAGCCUGGGGCUUAACCCCAGAAGUGCAUUUGAUACUGCUGAGCUUGAGUGCUGGAGAGGCUAUUAGAAUUCCUGGUGUAGUGGUGAAAUACGUAGAUAUCAGGAGGAAUACCGGAGGCGAAGGCGGAUAGCUGGCCAGACACUGACACUCAGACCCGAAAGCAUGGGGAUCAAACAGGAUUAGAUACCCCUGUAGUCC
Molecule: ribosomal RNA, 428 nt
Filed under: uncultured bacterium
Lineage: Bacteria
Description: partial 16S ribosomal RNA
Rfam family: Bacterial small subunit ribosomal RNA
Source: RNAcentral